This 28-nucleotide non-coding RNA is filed under the name Rattus norvegicus (Norway rat). Lineage: Eukaryota; Metazoa; Chordata; Mammalia; Rodentia; Muridae. The record is from RNAcentral.
UCCUAGAGCUUGAGAGCCCAUAAAGUGA